UUUAUGAAGAGUUUGAUCCUGGCUCAGGAUGAACGCUGGCGGCGUGCUUAACACAUUCAAGUCGAACGAAGAAGAUUGGAGCUUGCUCCGAUCGGAUUAGUGGCGGACGGGUGAGUAACGCGUGAGUAACCUGCCUGCGAGAGGGGGAUAACAACGGGAAACUGUUGCUAAUACCGCAUAACGCAUCGAUUCCGCAUGGAGAUGAUGCCAAAGGGAAACCGCUUGCAGAUGGACUCGCGUCUGAUUAGGUAGUUGGUGAGGUAACGGCUCACCAAGCCGACGAUCAGUAGCCGGACUGAGAGGUUGAACGGCCACAUUGGAACUGAGAUACGGUCCAGACUCCUACGGGAGGCAGCAGU
The sequence is a ribosomal RNA, 359 nucleotides long. It matches the Rfam family "Bacterial small subunit ribosomal RNA", at positions 1 to 355 of the family's 1533-position model.